This 483-nucleotide ribosomal RNA is filed under the name uncultured bacterium. RNAcentral describes it as "partial 16S ribosomal RNA". It matches the Rfam family "Bacterial small subunit ribosomal RNA", at positions 30 to 507 of the family's 1533-position model. The record is from RNAcentral.
AUUGAACGCUGGCGGCAGGCCUAACACAUGCAAGUCGAGCGGAUGAAGGGAGCUUGCUCCUGGAUCCAGCGGCGGACGGGUGAGUAAUGCCUAGGAAUCUGCCUGGUAGUGGGGGAUAACGUCCGGAAACGGGCGCUAAUACCGCAUACGUCCUGAGGGAGAAAGUGGGGGAUCUUCGGACCUCACGCUAUCAGAUGAGCCUAGGUCGGAUUAGCUAGUUGGUGGGGUAAGGCCUACCAAGGCGACGAUCCGUAACUGGUCUGAGAGGAUGAUCAGUCACACUGGAACUGAGACACGGUCCAGACUCCUACGGGAGGCAGCAGUGGGGAAUAUUGGACAAUGGGCGAAAGCCUGAUCCAGCCAUGCCGCGUGUGUGAAGAAGGUCUUCGGAUUGUAAAGCACUUUAAGUUGGGAGGAAGGGCAGUAAGUUAAUACCUUGCUGUUUUGACGUUACCAACAGAAUAAGCACCGGCUAACUUCGUG